CCUACGUGAGGCUGCAGUGGGGAAUAUUGCGCAAUGGGCGAACGCCUGACGCAGCGACGCCGCGUGAGGGAUGAAGGUCUUCGGAUCGUAAACCUCUGUCAGCAGGGAAGAACGGUCACUGUGCUAAUCAGCAGUGAAUUGACGGUACCUGCAAAGGAAGCACCGGCUAACGACGUGCCAGCAGCCGCGGUAAUACGGAGGGUGCGAGCGUUAAUCGGAAUUACUGGGCGUAAAGCGCUCGUAGGCGGUAUGUCAAGUCAAGGGUGAAAUCCCCGCGCUCAACGUGGGAACUGCCUUUGAAACUGGCAAACUGGAGUGUGUGAGAGGAUAGCGGAAUUCCAGGUGUAGGAGUGAAAUCCGGAGAUAUCUGGAGGAACAUCAGUGGCGAAGGCGACUAUCUGGCACAUAACUGACGCUGAGGAGCGAAAGCGUGGGUAGCAAACAGGAUUAGAUACCCCGGUAGUC
RNAcentral lists this ribosomal RNA (465 nucleotides) under uncultured bacterium. RNAcentral's name for it is "partial 16S ribosomal RNA". It matches the Rfam family "Bacterial small subunit ribosomal RNA", at positions 338 to 795 of the family's 1533-position model. The record is from RNAcentral.